GUCCUUUUGUUAUAAAUAUAAGGUCUAACCUGCCCAAUGAUGUAUUAUUAAAUGGCCGCGGUAUUUUGACCGUGCAAAGGUAGCAUAAUCAUUAGUUUUUUAAUUGAAAGCUGGAAUGAAAGGUUGAAUGAGAAAAUGACUGUCUCUUAAAAAUUUUAUUAGAAUUUUAUUUUUAAGUUAAAAAGCUUAAAUAAAAUUUAAAGACGAGAAGACCCUUUAGAGUUUGAUAUAAAUUAUAAUUUUAAAGUUUUAGUAUUUAUUUUAUUAAAUUUAUAAUUUAUAUUUGAUUGGGGUGAUUAAAAAAUUUAAUAAACUUUUUUUUUUAAGAUUCAUUAAUUUAUGUAUAAUUGAUCCAUAGAUUGUGAUUAUAAGAUUAAAUUACCUAAGGGAUAACAGCGUUAUUUUUUUUGAGAGUUCAUAUCGAAAAAAAAGAUUGCGACCUCGAUGUUGGAUUAAAGUUAAAUUAUGGUGUAGAGGCUAUAACUUUAGGUCUGUUCGACCUUUAAAACUUUACA
This 515-nucleotide ribosomal RNA is filed under the name Lobiopa falli. Its description in RNAcentral is "partial 16S ribosomal RNA". It matches the Rfam family "Bacterial large subunit ribosomal RNA", at positions 1825 to 2600 of the family's 2925-position model. The record is from RNAcentral. Lineage: Eukaryota; Metazoa; Arthropoda; Insecta; Coleoptera; Nitidulidae.